GAUGAAGAACGCAGCGAAAUGCGAUACUUGGUGUGAAUUGCAGAAUCCCGUGAACCAUCGAGUCUUUGAACGCAAGUUGCGCCCGAAGCCAUUAGGCCGAGGGUACGCCUGCCUGGGUGUCACACGUCGUUGCCCCCCCAUCUACUCCUUCGGGAUUGCGGGGGGCGGAUGAUGGCCUCCCGUGCGCCUCGUCGCGCGGUUGGCAUAAAUGCCAAGUCCUCGGCGACGCACGCCACGACAAUCGGUGGUUGCGAAACCUCGGUUGCCCGUCGUGUGCGGUCGUCGCGCAUCGAGGGCUCGAAAAAAUUGCCGGGCUCCGGCUCGGCUUUCAACGCGACCCCAGGUCAGGCGGGGUUACCCGCUGAAUUUAAGCAUAUCAAUAAGCGGAGGA
This 391-nucleotide unclassified non-coding RNA is filed under the name soil metagenome. RNAcentral describes it as "partial contains 5.8S ribosomal RNA, internal transcribed spacer 2, and large subunit ribosomal RNA". The stretch from base 1 to 122 matches the Rfam family "5.8S ribosomal RNA", at positions 35 to 154 of the family's 154-position model. The record is from RNAcentral.